UACAGAGGUGCCAAGCGUUAGGCGGAAUCACUGGGCUUAAAGCGCGUGUAGGCGGGUCGUUAAGUGUCCGAGUGAAAUCCCACGGCUCAACCGUGGAACUGCCGGGCAUACUGGCGAUCUUGAGGCAUUCAGGGGCGAGCGGAACAAAUGGUGGAGCGGUGAAAUGCGUAGAUAUCAUUUGGAGCGCCAAUGGUGAAAACAGCUCGCUGGGAAUGAUCUGACGCUGAGACGCGAAAGCCAGGGGAGCGAACGGG
Molecule: ribosomal RNA, 254 nt
Filed under: uncultured bacterium
Lineage: Bacteria
Description: partial 16S ribosomal RNA
Rfam family: Bacterial small subunit ribosomal RNA
Source: RNAcentral